UGUUCUAAUGUUUUGAUUUUAUGAGCAAGAUGAUUUUGGUUUUUUUUUUUGUUUUUGUUGGUGGUUCACGGAGGAGGAGGGUGUUGCUGAGUGGUGGCUGGUGGUGGCUAGUGGUUCACGGAGGGGGAGGGUGGUGUUGAGCGGUGGCUAGGCCGAUGGUUAGUGGUGGCUUGGCUGUUGGUAUUCCGACUGUUCGUAUUCACCUCUGCCCUCUCUCUCCGACAUGCACAGUAAUUAAUGCCGCAUUUAAAGGUCAUAAUUAGGGUAAAAAAACGAAGAGCCCCUCUGGGCCUGGACCGAGAAAACCGAAAAGAAAAAAAGAAAAAAAGGAAAGGAAAAGGAAAAAGAAAGAAAAAGAAAGAAAAAAAGCAAAAUAUAAAACAGCAAAA
This 389-nucleotide long non-coding RNA is filed under the name Glycine max (soybean). RNAcentral describes it as "long non-coding RNA (GMAX_LNC004386)". Lineage: Eukaryota; Viridiplantae; Streptophyta; Magnoliopsida; Fabales; Fabaceae. The record is from RNAcentral.